CCUACGGGUGGCAGCAGUGAGGAAUAUUGGUCAAUGGACGAGAGUCUGAACCAGCCAAGUCGCGUGAAGGAUGACUGCCCUAUGGGUUGUAAACUUCUUUUAUCAAGGAAUAAAACGAGGCACGUGUGCCGUUUUGCGUGUACUUGAUGAAUAAGGAUCGGCUAACUCCGUGCCAGCAGCCGCGGUAAUACGGAGGAUCCGAGCGUUAUCCGGAUUUAUUGGGUUUAAAGGGAGCGUAGAUGGGUUGUUAAGUCAGUUGUGAAAGUUUGGGGCUCAACCGUAAAAUAGCAAUUGAUACUGGCAGUCUUGAGUACAGUAGAGGUACGCGGAAUUCGUGGUGUAGCGGUGAAAUGCUUAGAUAUCGCGAAGAACCCCGAUUGCGAAGGCAGCGUAC
This 394-nucleotide ribosomal RNA is filed under the name uncultured bacterium. RNAcentral's name for it is "partial 16S ribosomal RNA". It matches the Rfam family "Bacterial small subunit ribosomal RNA", at positions 338 to 729 of the family's 1533-position model. The record is from RNAcentral.